Apis florea (little honeybee) is the source of this 655-nucleotide long non-coding RNA. The record is from RefSeq and is a predicted model, not a curated record. NCBI's taxonomy places the organism in Eukaryota, Metazoa, Arthropoda, Insecta, Hymenoptera, Apidae.
GUGGGAAAAGGUAUGAGUCAGUUUUAUUUUGGCCGUUACACUGUUUAGACGUGUCGGGAUUACGUGUGUUUGUUUUCGUGUAUAAUUUAAGGUUACGUACGAAUUUCGUGUUCAAAAUAUUACGCAUUUAAUCGUGAUUCUUUAAAAUACAUUUAUUUAUCAGUGUUUGUAAUAUUUUCAUUUAUUUAUCAGUGUUUUAAAUACGUUCUUUCACAAGUAUAACAUUGUGGCAACAAUUUCGCGCGGUUUUAUUCGCGAGUGCCAGUGUAUUUCGCCAUUUUUAUGGACGGAUGAGAAACUGCAUCGUCACUGUGCUAUCUACGAACAAUGUUUUAUUACUUUCACAUCUUAUAUGACGAUGUGCACAAUAAAUUCUCUAGAGUGGACCAUAAAACCAUCAAUCGUAAUAUUCUUCGCAUCAAUGGUAAUUAAUCAUGCCGGUCGUGCCAGCCGAGGGUGCCGGCCAACUCGAGGACCUUGACGAGCCUCCAGAGCCCCGUGUCCGCGGAGGGAGCGGAAGGGCCAGCCUUAUGAAACCCCUGGUCGUCCUCGCCCUUCCUGGCAUGUAUCUUUUCUACAAGUACAGCCAGUACAGGAGGGAGCAGCGCGAGUUGUCGCGGAGGCGGGUCACCGAGAGGGAGCUUCAACAUCUUCA